CUUUAAGCUGGUAAACGAGAUGUUUGUGUUGGAGGCAAUAAUGCCAGCCUGUGGAGGGGACAGGCUUUACCAAAGAGCUAAUGAAAGAGCUAUUGUUCAGGCCCACCUGGCCUUGGCUCUGCUUUCUCCUCCAGAAGAAAUCUUGAUUGAAGCACCAGCAAGUAUGUUUCUUGCCUUUGUCAUUGUUUCCUGGGUAUGCAUCUCAUUUGGCAAUCUCACAGGAAGAAGACAGGAUUUCCUCUGUCUAGGCUGAAGUAUAGUGGUGCAAUUAUAGCUGAGUGCAUCCCUGGACUCCUGGCCUCAAGAGAUCCUCCCACUGGAGCCUCCCUCCUGAGUAGCUGGGACUACAGAUGUGUGCCACCACGCCCAGCAAGAUCCUUUAUGAUACAUAUACAAAACUGUCUCCUAGUAAUUUCCGUGUUUUAAAACUUUUUCUGAUAUCCUAAUUCAUAAAAUAGUGCCUCUUGUCUUUAGGAACUGUUCAAAUAUUUCAA
This 494-nucleotide long non-coding RNA is filed under the name Homo sapiens (human). RNAcentral describes it as "HSALNT0364692". The record is from RNAcentral. Lineage: Eukaryota; Metazoa; Chordata; Mammalia; Primates; Hominidae.